CUUUGUUUUAAAUUCAUCAAGUCAAAGGUCUGCAUUUUUUAAGGAUUGGUUUCUAGUGAUGUAUUUUGUUCCUUUGAAUGAGCCAUGUCAUUUCUCCGUCUUGUGAUCUUUUGUUGAGAUUGGGGAUUUUGUUGAAAUUUGAAAAUUUGUUGAGAUUUGAAAAAGCAGACACCUCUCCCACUUUGAAAACCGGGUUCACACAGGGCCUUCACUAAUCAGCCCAACUUAAAGGCUCAGGGUCCUCUCUGAUCUCUCCUGGAGGUGCAUCUUGCCUGGGACUGCAUGUGUGCUUUUGUUCUACCUCACCACAUAUCAACUGCUGUUAACAGUUUCAUUUCCAUGAGUGUUUCAUUCCUGCCUAUUCUCAGAAGACAUGAAUGUCUGGUCUUUUCUUCUGUGAUCUCUUGUCCCCAGACAUCCAUGGGUCUUCAGACCACCUGCAGUUCAAACCUGCUACUGCAUCCAUGCCUGCCGUCAGCAGUCUCCCAACUUUCUUCCACAUUAUGCCACCAUUUCCAACGACGUUCUGAGUCAAGGAAGACAAACCAGUCUGCAGCAAGCCAGAAAGUUGCAAGCAAGUUUCAUUAUUUACCUUGAGUCCUGAGGGAGAAACCAGGACUGGGUGGUUUCCUCACAACUGAGGUGUAUGGCAUGAGGGUGCGGCAGAGGCCAACCAGAGGUAGGGCAGUGCAGGGGUUUGGUGGGUGAGGGGACAGCUUGUUCCUGGUUCUCAGUUGCAGUAGAACCUGAUUCUGAGAGGCUCCUGGCUACCUGUAGCCUUAGUUCCGUUGUGCAGAAGCUGGAGGUGGCUGCAGUUACUUGGGUUUUGUAGCUGCGUGCUAUGGUCUGAAUGUUUGCAUCUUCCCACAGUUCAUGAUGAAAUCCUGACUCCCAAAGGUAUGGCAGUAGGAGGCUGAGGUGAUCGGGAGGUGUGUGUGAGUAGAGUGUCACUCAUGAAGAGAUGCCAUGUAAAGACAUUCCUAGCCCCUAUAGCAUCUGAGAAGUCUGCAACCUGGAAGAGGAUCCUCACUUGACCAUGCUGGCACCCUACCCUGAUCUAGGACUUCCAGCCUCCGGAACUGACAACCUUACUUGGCACAUCUCAUGAUUGAGCCAAACCUAACUGACCUUAUGCACCAGGUCCAAUGCAGUGAGGAGUCUCUUAUUGGAUGUAUUUAGAAAUCACCUCUUCCCAAACCCCACCAUAUGAUUUUGAUAAGCCGCCAACCACAACAGUCUACAACCCUGAUUCCAAAGGUGUGCAUAUGACACCAACUGUGCCAGAAUCCCUGGCUGGGAAGGACUAAAGCAGGAGAAGCUCUUUCUUCCUUGUGGUUGUUAAACUGAGAUGAUGAACAUGAAGCUGAGAGAAACCAUGUUUCCUAUGAAGAAAAAACACCCACCUCCAGUCAGAAACUAAGAAGCCAAUGUGCCAAGAAUCAAGAAAGUGGCAGAGAGGAGUCUCGACAGUGCCCCCGGCCCUGGAGACAUAAGUUUAAGAAGCCAGAUCCAGCUUCCCAUGACUGGUAAUAUAACCUGAAACAACCACCUUGUUGAAGUCUGGUUUCUAAGAUCAAACCCCAAAACCCAAUAAACAGAUUAAGGAACAAACUGAAGAGAAACCAGGGGUGAGAUACUGCAAAGACUGACGAAAAAAAAAAUUAGCUCUUCAGUAACUAAGUAGCCUACUUUAAAUUCCACAUUCUCAUAUUUAGGUCAAAACCUCCAAAAACAAGACUUUUCAGUAUCCCAACUUAUACUGUAUCUUCUACGGCGGGGACGAAAAAUGGUAAUUCUGUUCCUCUGGCUUCUAGAUGUUGGUGUGCUCACUGGAAUGCCAGCAGGGGCUGUCAGG
Long non-coding RNA from Nyctereutes procyonoides (raccoon dog), 1855 nucleotides. RefSeq lists it as uncharacterized. NCBI's taxonomy places the organism in Eukaryota, Metazoa, Chordata, Mammalia, Carnivora, Canidae. The record is from RefSeq and is a predicted model, not a curated record. The transcript has 3 exons.